ACUAUUGGAGUCUUAUCCCCUUUUUAUUAUAUUAAACCUCUUUUGUUUUUCCUCCGCAGAUAUUGAAGACUGCCCAAUCUAGAAUAGCUCGUUGCUAGAAUACCUGCAUUACAGAAACCAGCUAAUGGAGAACAUCUAUUUCUUGGAACUGGAAAGCAAACACUGGCUCUGCAAUACUGGAACAGAUCGCCGUGACAGACAGCCUCUUUUAAUAGCAAAGAAAAUGAUGUCUUCUUACAAAAUGCAAAGUAAGUCAUUAGCAUAAGCAUUCUAUUCAUUUUUUAUAAAAUAUCUUUAUUGUUUGCACCAAGCAGAAACAUGUUAGAUGACUGAAUAAAACAUGCCAAUACCAUUGUAGAUGAGGCCACAAAAAUAAUUUAUAGUAGGUCUACUUAUUCCUCGACCAUCCAGUGAUCAGAAGUGUAGAUUAAGCAUUACAAUACUUUAAACCUUUAACAGUUUACACUUCCUCCCCCCUCCCAUCCUGGACCCCCACAUCAUUCCACCAAAGGUUGUUUCAUAUGGUAGAUUAUCAGAGCAUUAAUGGGUAUUCUCAUG
Molecule: long non-coding RNA, 558 nt
Organism: Xenopus laevis (African clawed frog)
Lineage: Eukaryota; Metazoa; Chordata; Amphibia; Anura; Pipidae
Exons: 3
Source: RefSeq, a predicted model, not a curated record